This 4710-nucleotide long non-coding RNA is filed under the name Elaeis guineensis (African oil palm). Its description in RNAcentral is "long non-coding RNA (EGUI_LNC042080)". The record is from RNAcentral. Lineage: Eukaryota; Viridiplantae; Streptophyta; Magnoliopsida; Arecales; Arecaceae.
ACUUAAUUAAUUUAUCAAACCUAUUUAACAUAUUAAAAGCAUAAUUAAUUUCUAUUUGAUAAAUUCAAUCAUAAGAAAAAAAAACUGUAGGUUGGGUGGUCGGUUCAAUAGCUUGACCGGACAUCGGGGCAAUUCAAGGCCUCUUAAUCGAGGAUCAGAUCUAGGUAACUCGAUUAAAGAAUCAUGAAGCAUGAAUUGAAAUCAAGGUAUCAAGGUCAAGAUCAAUCAACAGGCUCAUCAAUAGUAGGUUUUAAGGGUAUUUGAUAUGGUCGGGAUAGGGUCCGACAUGUUGCACGGAUAUCGAAGCAAUUUCGAAUUUUUUUGAAAACAUCAUCUUAGGUUUGUACAUGGAUCCAUGGAAGAGAAAAAUAUGACUCGGUACAGGAUUCAUAGAUCUUCUUAAAGAGAGUAGGUGAAGAGAGAAAAUAGAGAGUGGAGAGAAAAUCUUCGUAUUUCUCAAAAGAAGAAUCUAUGAUCAAGAUCAUCAGGGAUCAUAUCAUGGUGAUUCAAUGGAGGUUAACAGUGAUCGAAUUUAUAAAUAUCUGGCAAAGAUCGGAUUGGGAUCCGAUCCACUGCACGAAUAUCAAAGCAAUUUUGGGUCUCCUUGAAAAAUCAUCUUAGGUUCAUAGUGGGAUUUAUUGAUUAGUUAGAAAGAGAGGAGAGAAAUUCUAGAGAGAGAUAAGAGUGAAAAUCAUUUUUUUUUCUUCUUUUCUUUUCUUUUCUUCUUGGCUGAACAAAGGAGGGACACGAGGGGUGCCUGGUGGCUUGUGCUCUGACGAGGUGUGGUGGCACGAUUGGAGGUCCGGCAGCAGUGACUGACGGUCACAGGGUAAGGCGACAGUGCAUGGGUGGCCAGUGGCAAGGACCAAUCUGUAAGAAAUCAUGGGAAAAAAUAUCCAAAAAUAGAAAAUUAUUCUGUGGCAUUUUCCGGCCAAAUCGGUGGCCGUCGGUGAGCCCUGGGUCAAGGGAAGAAAGGGAAGAGGGAGAGGAAGAAGAAGGGGAGGGGCUUACCUUGAGCUCUGGCAAUGUCUCCGACGUCGAUUCAAGGUGAACACAGUGAGGGUGUCUACGGCUUCAAUAGAAAAAUCUUAGGAAAAGGGAGAGGGAGGGGAUCGGUGUUCAUCGUAGGUGGCUUUGGAGGGAGGGGAGGUUUUAUAGUGGAGGGGAGGUCGAUUCCUCCUCGAAAUCGGCUUCCUCAUCCAUUGAAAUCGUGCAGAAGACUCCCAGUGGGAGUCUUCAACCUUUUUUUUCCUUUUUUUCUUAGGGCUGCUUUAAGAUUCGGGUUAUCACAUUCUACCCCCUUUAAAAACAAGUUUCGUUUUCGAAAUUUGGCGUAUCUUCAUUUUCAAAUCAGUGAGGAUACUUUAUCUUCAUAUCAUCUUUAUCAUACUUUAGAUUAGUUUCCGUCAAUCCUAGUUUUCUUAUGAUGCAAUUCUUAAAUGAAGUAUCAGUGAGAAUAAAUUUUCUUAAGUGAAGCGAUCACAUACAGUAACUUAUUCAAUUCUUUGAAUAUGUAGUUAAAUUUGGAAAACACAAAAGAAUAAGAAAAUUAUAAUCAAACAACAUAUGGGCAUUUACGGGUUGUCUAGAAUCGUACUUGUAAUGACUUGAUCACCUGUAUUGGCAUCCUGCUCAGUCAAAGCAAAUACUGGCAGACUUAAGAGUCAUUCUUUUUAUUAAGACAAUCCCAUGCCAAAUGUCCCUUCUUGCCGCACUCAAAGCACAUUUCAUGUUUCUUAUAGCAAGGCCCACCAUGAUUUCUACCAUAAUACUCACAAGUCUUUGUGCCUUUCUUCUUAUUAGAGUUAUUCUCUAAGUUGUCAUGUUGGUUACUUCGAGUUUCUAGUGAUCUAGAUCUCUUCCUAUACUCCUUUUUUUGUUCUGAUCUUUUAAUAUCUGAUUCAACUUUCAAAGUUCGUUUUACUACAUCUUUGUAGUUGUUAAAAAGGUGAGAGGACAAGCGAGAUUGAAUUUUAUAUCCUAGACCAUGCUCAAAUCUAUUUGUUUUGCUUCUUUCAGACUCUAUAAGCUGGGGGCAAAAUCGACCUAACUUAUUAAAUUUGUUUGCAUUUUUUAGUACUGUCAUGUCAUCUUUUUGUCUUAAGAUUAAGAGCUCAUUCUCUUUUACUAAUCUAAUUGACUCAGAAACAUAUUGAUCAUAAAAUAUCUUUUUGAACUCUUUCCAUGUCAGCUGAUUAUCAUUAUUUUCAUAUACAGCCUUUACUGUAGUCCACCAAAACUCGGUGUUUUCUUUUAGCAUGGGAAUGGCUAGUCUAACAUUCACAUCCUCAGGAUACUAUAGUGCAUCAAACAUCUUUUCCAUUUCCUUAAUUCAGAUCUCUGCAACUAAAGGGUCAGAUCCACCUUCAAACAAUGGUGAGUUAAGCCUUCUAAACCUUUCAUAAUAUAACUCUAAAGAUGGUGUAGGUCGAGAAGUGGCUUGUGUUUGCUGUUGCUUAAGAAGGUGGGCUACUGCUUGGCAUAUUCCAGUAAUGUCUGUCUGAGUGGCUGGUGCAUUAGGGAUCUGCUCAAUCGAUUGGUUCGCAACUCCCCUCAUCUUUCUUGCUCUCUUUCUAGUGGCAUGGUUCGCCAAGAUUUCAUUUUCUCUGUUGCUCAUCAUCACCUAUAAAAAAAUACUAACCUUAAUCAACUUUCUUUAAUGAGCAACGGAAACUCCAAGAAAACUAUCUAUUCUCAUUCAAUAAAAUAUGAUCUAGCUAAACAAGACCUAAUUACCCCAUUGCUAGAGUUCUACCUAUGAUCAAUCCUAUUGCUCUGAUACUAUAAAAUGUCACGCCCUAAAUUCGAGACAUAACACGGCUAUACUAUCGAGAGAUGGGUCCUACGAUAACAUGAAGUCAAUCAAUCAUAAUUAGCUAAAAUCAAUCAAAAAUAAGUUAUAGUAAAAGAUUCAAUUCUAUUAUUCAUCGAGCAAAUAAACCAAAACUAGUUCAGGACAUCUAAAUCUCAAAAUGAAAUGCCAAAACCAUAUGUCAAAAUUCAUCAAUAAUUGAUUACAUAUCCAUGAUCAUCAAAUAAACCAAAUGUCGGCUAUAAAAUUUUCAAGCUUGCAAUGCAGAUCCUCAAGCCUGCAUCCUUUAUCGGUCCUAAUUUUUUUCUUCUGUAAAAAAAAAAUAAAAACAUAUAAGCUACACUAGCUCAGUAAGUAAACCUUACACUAUCUGAUCCGGAUCAAGCAUAAGGUUAUACAUGCAUCAAUAAAUCACUUAAAGAAUAUGAUGAUCAUUAGAAUAUAAAACUUUCGAAAUAGUAUAUCAUAAAUAAAUCAUACUCUUACAUAUGCAUAAAUCAUGUAAUUUUCAUAAACAUAGUUUCUAAUGUCAUUUUACAAUCAAUCAUAAAUUUAUAAAUCAUAUUAACUUUAUCAAUAAAGUCAGAAAUCAUUUGUUUUUUUGUCAUAUCAUACUUCUUAAUAAUUCUCUUAAACUAAAUGCUAAAGUCACUAUUAUACUCGUGACAGGGCCAUAAUCAUGUACCUACUAUUAUCCGUUGUCUAGGUCGUAUACCAACUACUAUUAUCCAUUGGCAGGGUUGUAUGCCAAUUGCUAUUAUCCAUUGGUAGGGUCAUAUGCCAAUUAUUGUUACCUAUUGGCAGGGUCAUGUACCAAUUACUAUGAUCCAUUGGCAGGAUCGUACAUAGCUAUCUGGGAGUCUUUUUUCAUGUUUCUUAAAAUAAGCAUUCUUAAAUCAUAUUUCAUCGAAUCAUAUUUUUUUAAAUCAUACAUAAAUAAGAUACUAGAUAAUUUCAUAAAAUUUAUGAUCUAAAAAUAAUUUUUAACAGUAAAACAAUUGUAAAUUAUUCUUUUCAUAACAAGACAUAUAUUUCAUAAAUAUGGAGUUCAUAUUUCAUAAAAAGUCAUUCAUAUUAAAAUAUUUAUAAAUCAUUAUUUUACCAUGAAUCAUAAAUUUCACAAUGCAUACACUUGAUUUUUAUUUUAUGAAAAUGCAGAAUAAUUUUUUUCAUGAUAAAAUAGUCGAUAAUUUCAAAAGUAAGAAGUGUCGGGAUUACUUAUCUCUUCCGUUCUAGUCCUUCAAACUUCACUUGAUGAAUUUAUCAAACCUAUUUAACAUAUUAAAAGCAUAAUUAAUUUUUAUUUGAUAAAUUCAAUCAUAAAGAAAGAAAACUGUAGGUUGGGUGGUUGGUUCAAUAGCCUGAACGGAUAUCGGGGCAAUUCAAGACCUCCUAACCGAGGAUUAGAUUUAGGUGACCCGAUUAAAGAAUCAUGAAGCAUGAAUUGGAAUCAAGGUCAAGAUCAAUCAACAGGCUCAUCAAUAGUAGGUUUCAAGGGUAUUUGACAUGGUCGGGAUAGGGUUCGACAUGUUGCACGGAUAUCGAAGCAUUUUUCGGCUUUUUGGAAACAUCAUUUUAGGUUCAUAUAUGGACCCAGAGAAGAGAAAAAUAUGAUUCAGUACAGGAUUCAUAGGUCUUCUUAGAGAGUAGGUGAAGAGAAAAUAGAGAGAAAAUGGAGAGAAUUUUCGUAUUUCUCAAAAGAGAAAUCCAUGGUCAAAAUCAUCAGGGGUCAUAUUAUGGUGAUUUAAAGGAGGUUAACAGUGAUCGAAUUUAUAAAUAUCUGUUAAAGAUCGGAUUGAGAUCCGAUCCACUGCACGAAUAUCAAAGCAAUUUGGGGUCUCCUUGAAAAAUAAUCUUAGGUUCAUAGUGGGGUUUAUUGAUUAGUUAGAAAGAGGAAG